GGCAGCACGAUGUAGCAAUACAUUGGUGGCGACCGGCGCACGGGUGAGUAACGCAUAUGCAACCUACCUAUCAGAGGGGAAUAACCCGGCGAAAGUCGGACUAAUACCGCAUAAAACAGGGGUUCCACAUGGAAAUAUUUGUUAAAGAAUUAUCGCUGAUAGAUGGGCAUGCGUUCCAUUAGAUAGUUGGUGAGGUAACGGCUCACCAAGUCCACGAUGGAUAGGGGUUCUGAGAGGAAGGUCCCCCACACUGGUACUGAGACACGGACCAGACUCCUACGGGAGGCAGCAGUGAGGAAUAUUGGUCAAUGGGCGAGAGCCUGAACCAGCCAAGUCGCGUGAAGGAUGAAGGAUCUAUGGUUUGUAAACUUCUUUUAUAUGGGAAUAAAGUGAGGAACGUGUUCCUUUUUGUAUGUACCAUAUGAAUAAGCAUCGGCUAACUCCGUGCCAGCAGCCGCGGUAAUACGGAGGAUGCGAGCGUUAUCCGGAUUUAUUGGGUUUAAAGGGUGCGUAGGUGGUUAAUUAAGUCAGCGGUGAAAGUUUGUGGCUCAACCAUAAAAUUGCCGUUGAAACUGGUUGACUUGAGUAUAUUUGAGGUAGGCGGAAUGCGUGGUGUAGCGGUGAAAUGCAUAGAUAUCACGCAGAACUCCGAUUGCGAAGGCAGCUUACUAAACUAUAACUGACACUGAAGCACGAAAGCGUGGGGAUCGAACAGGAUUAGAUACCCUGGUAGUCCACGCAGUAAACGAUGAUUACUAGCUGUUUGCGAUACACAGUAAGCGGCACAGC
This 789-nucleotide ribosomal RNA is filed under the name uncultured bacterium. RNAcentral's name for it is "bacterial SSU rRNA". It matches the Rfam family "Bacterial small subunit ribosomal RNA", at positions 66 to 852 of the family's 1533-position model. The record is from RNAcentral.